GCAUAUCAAUAAGCGGAGGAAAAGAAACCAACAGGGAUUGCCCUAGUAACGGCGAGUGAAGCGGCAACAGCCCAAAUUUGAAAUCUGACCCCCUGGGGUCCGAGUUGUAAUUUGGAGAGGAUGCCUCGGUGGAGGCCCCGGCCGAAGUGCCUUUGAACGGGCCGUCAGAGAGGGUGAGAACCCCGUCCGCGGUCGCCGGCCCCCACCGUGUGAGGCUCCUUCGACGAGUCGAGUUGUUUGGGAAUGCAGCUCUAAAUGGGAGGUAAAUUCCUUCCAAGGCUAAAUAUCCGCCAGAGACCGAUAGCGCACAAGUAGAGUGAUCGAAAGGUGAAAAGCACUUUGAAAAGAGGGUGAAACAGCACGUGAAAUUGUUGAAAGGGAAGCGCUUGCAACCAGAGUCGUCCGCGGGGGCUCCACCGACCCUCGGGCCCGGUGUACUCCCCCGCGGUCGAGCCAGCAUCAGCUCGGCCGGUCGGAUAAAGGCCGUGGGAAUGUGACACCCUCGGGUGUGUUAUAGCCCGCGGCACAAUACGGCCUGGCCGGGCUGAGGUCAGCGCCUUUGGCACGGAUGCUGGCGUAAUGGUUGUCAGCGGCCCGUCUUGAAACACGGACCAAGGAGUCUAACAUCUAUGCGAGUGUUCGGGUGUCAAACCCGUGAGCGGAAUGAAAGUGAACGGAGGUGGGAGCCCUCGGGCGCACCAUCGACCGAUCCGGAUGUCUUCGGAUGGAUUUGAGUAUGAGCAUAGCUGUUGGGACCCGAAAGAUGGUGAACUAUGCGUGAAUAGGGUGAAGCCAGAGGAAACUCUGGUGGAGGCUCGCAGCGGUUCUGACGUGCAAAUCGAUCGUCAAAUUUGCGCAUAGGGGCGAAAGACUUAUCGAACCAUCUAGUAGCUGGUUCCUGC
RNAcentral lists this ribosomal RNA (902 nucleotides) under Kirschsteiniothelia aethiops. Its description in RNAcentral is "LSU rRNA". It matches the Rfam family "Eukaryotic large subunit ribosomal RNA", at positions 38 to 961 of the family's 3401-position model. The record is from RNAcentral. Lineage: Eukaryota; Fungi; Ascomycota; Dothideomycetes; Kirschsteiniotheliales; Kirschsteiniotheliaceae.